GCCAGCCCAGCUUCAGAGCUGUGCCUUCCCUUGACAGUGACACUGAGUGUGUACUGCCCCAUUGCCCAGCAAGCCUUCCAUCCCGACCAUCCACUGCACCCAAGCUUGGAAACCCUUUUAUUUCUUGUGCUGGCCCUGGAAAAUUGGAGGAAGCAGCAGGAAACCCUAUGCCCAGGUUUUAUCAGGUCAGUCUGAUCCACCCAGAAGCUGAUGCACCCUGAGCAGGGGCGGCCCACAGGAAUGCUCCUACCUGGAGGAUGCAGCCAAGCUGCCUCAGAGCUGGUGGCCUUGCAGGUGGCCCCCAGCGCUGAGCCACAGCAGCUAUGAAGACAGCCCCCAGCCCAGGCCACCCCGAUGGCGAGAGUCUGGAUUGCUACAGAUCAGGCUUGGUUGCGGGGGCUCAGUCUGAUGCCUGCAAUGAACAAGCUGCAACUACAUAAAAUACAGCUUGUGAGUAGUGGCAGGCUGGAGGCAAAAGAGGGGAAGACACAAAUCAUCCAGGCAUGGAGAGGAAGAGAUAAUGAGAAAAGGAGCUGAAACCUAAAGAACCUCCUGAGAAAGGGGGAGCCCCUCAGCUGUAAAGACAAAACAAAUGCGUUUGCCUUUGAAACGACUGUGACUGUGACGCUGCUGGCUGGAAGAGCUGUCUGCAUUUAAAACGGUGUGACUGCGUGAAGUGGGAACGAUGUGUAUACAGCACACGGUAGUGAAGCAGGAAAGUUGAGGAUUUCAAGUGACCUCUCGGAAGCUGUGCAGACCAUGUGGAGAGCAGCUUCCUGCUAGCAUUGCCUUCAAGGACAAUGCCACUCUAGACAGAUGCUUUGGCUCCACAGGACAUUGUUAGGAACUGAAGAUCUUGCCCAAGAAAUCACUAAACAUUGAAGCCAAACAAGCAUAACACACUCUUUGACGAAGCACAUUAUUCAUGCCACUUCAGUGAGGGGCCUUCACCUUCACUGAUGGCAACUGCUCACCGACAAUCAUCGCAGAUGGAAUUUCAACAAAAAGAUGUAAAGCAUAAUGCGAGCUGGAAGCAGCAAUGACUGUGGCUGAUUUUAAGCAGGGAAAUGGGCUUGAUUUUUAUAGAUGUCUUUUGCACUUCAAAAAAGUACUGUUAUUGCAGAUACCAAACUGAGUAAGAAAUAUGCUGCCAGUGCAGACAAAACACUCCUCAAAGCCUGUUAUUAAUAGAGAGGCAGUGGCAUUGCCAGCAAGAUAAAAAGGUCAGGAAGGGCUUUUAGCCAUUUUUCAAUAUAUAUAAAAUAUAUAUAUAUAUAUAGUCAUAUUGUGAUGUGAAGAAGUGCAAAUGAGGCUAACACUGGGUUUGUACCAGGAUGGCAACACAAAUGCACCACCAUUAAAUGUCUGUGGAACAACAAAGCCAAAUGCCAAGAACCCUGGCCCUAAGGAUGGAAGAUGGGACAUACCGUUGCCUUCUGGGGUCAGAGGUCUGAGACCUGGGCAAACAGGGACUGAAAGCACUACAGAAAGCAGGAGAUUGUUAUUACUGCUGUUCUUGAAAGCAGUAGAGCUUCACUGAGAGUUCAGGAAAAAGUUUGGAAAUAUUUUCGAUUUGCUUCAACACUUUCUUGGUAUGUGAAAAAUGCCCAUAAGAUAUAAAGCCUCAGAAUUUACAGAAACUUAAAAAUUAAAAACAACAACAAAAACAACAUACAAGCAAACCAACAAAACAAAAAUCUGAAGAUCUGGGAAAGCUGACUGAGGAAUAAAAGAACUACCCUCCUCAAAAGAAGCAGAACAAAUUUUAUUAAAAAAAGGCAAAAAUGAAGAAGUCCAUACAACAAACCCUAUGGAGAACAGAUGCCUAAAAAAUGAUUGAACAUGUGAAAAGUGUUUUUUUUUUCUUUUUAAAAUACUUAGUAUUUUUUUGGAUGUUUGCCAUAUCAGAUUUUUUUUUUCAUCAUUUAGAUAUUUGUUAAUCUGUUACUGUGCGUUGGAUGGGCUCUUUCUUCUAUAUGAGUUCUUUUUAACAAUUAUAUCUACGAUGACAUCUAACAAACUUCUGUAAAAAUAUGGCACCAAAAUUUAUUUCCAACUUACAGAAGAGGGAUUGCUAGAAGAAUUUUCAUUAAAGAAUGGAUUUGCAAGAAGUGAUUUUGCCUAUUACUAUGUGGUAUUUUUUUUCUAAUGUACAGCCUUGUUAAAAAACUGAACACAUGGAAUUGAAAUAACCUCCAUCUUUCCUCUAAAACAAUUUUUCUAAUAGCAUUAACUGAACCAAAUAACUACCCGAGGGCCUAAUUUUAGCCAAAUCUGUAUAACCUGAAUUCAAUUUACAAUCAAGAAAGAAUGAAGCAUUUGAUCCUGGAUUUUGCACCCUCACAUUUCUGCUUGCAGGCCAGACUCAACCAUUAAUUCUUUUUCAGAAGUGUUUAAAGCCCUAAAUCUGAAAUUAUUGGCAGUACUGGUUUAAGUGUUUACAGAAUUGGAGCUUAAUAUACUUCUGAAAAAGGAUGAAUUGGUAACCUGUGAGGAAAAACAUAUUUAAACUACAACUGCAGAACAAUUUCCAAGAGUGCUGUUUUUGGUAGCACACAACAUUUCCCUCUAGCCAACAAGAGAAAAUAGUGCAGUCAUUAAAGUUCUUUUUAGAAUUUUGCCUGAAAAUCCCAGCACUAAAGUACUUUUUGUCAGAACUUUGAUAAAACAAAAGCUUAGUUCUCCUUACUUUAAGAAUAUUUCAGAAUAUAAGAUAAAGAAAUUAUGACUUCAGCCAUAUUCCUUGACUUCUUUAUAGCUUGUAAAACUGUGUAAAACAUUGUCAAUGUGACAAUGAAAUAGUGGCUGAGAAAAAUUCAAAAUGUAAAAUAUUAUUUAAAUUACCAAUAAAAAGUAUGUGUUUUUUUUCCUACCUUUUUAAGGCAUUUUAUAAAUGCAUUAAUAGUUUGUUGGAAUACCAGCUUUAUUUCUAUUUCCUCCAAGGCAGUAAGGUAUAACUGAUAGGGAGAAAUAUCCUAUCUAUGUUGAUAGGAAAACAUUGGUCUUAAUAUCACUACAUAAUAAAAUGAAAAAAUAAUUUAUGUAGUUCUAUGGUUUAGUUUAAUUACUUAUCUCUUUCAGGAUAUUUUUUAUUAUAGUUUUAUUGCAAUCAAAACAUUUUUUAAACAAUUUAGUAAAUGCCAUAAGGUACCAACACAUCUUUAAUGGCCAGUUUUUCUAUUGAUAUAAAUCACACACUUUUAUCACAUAGACUAGUCAGUAUAAAAAGUCAAAAAUAUGUGUAUGUUUUUGAAAAAACAAACAACAUUUAAAUAAGCAAGUUUUUGUCUCUGUGCAAUAGAGAAAGUAUAAAGACAAUUAUUUUAUAAAGAAGUAGAAUCUCAGAUGCUCAGAAAAUGCAUUAUAAUUUAUCAUAAUGUAUGUUAUCAUACAUGUUAUCACAUAAUAGCAUUUCAUUGUGGAAUAGUUUUCCCAAAAUUGAUUUCAUACUCAAAUUAAAAACUAUUCAACAGUUCAAAGUGAAAUUUAAAAUCUUACCUUCUGGAAAAAAAAAAAAAAAAAAAACCUUUAUAACCUUUUGUUAUAUCUUUCCUUUCAAAAUUAAUCCAUACUCAGUAACAUCUCCCUUAUUUGAUUCAUAUAUUCUAACCUCCAGAUAAAAGUCCUGUAACAUUAAGAUAUGCAAACUGCCAACAAUCUUACAUGGUUUUCAAUGUUAGAAAUCCUGAAUUUUGAGCACUUUUUAAAAAAGAGAGAUAUUUCUGGAUUAGGAAGUGUUUCGCACAGGAUGAAAAUAGAAAGUGUAGGAAAUGUAAGCCAUUUUUUCCUUCGACUGAAUGCAUAUCCAUUUUCAGAUCUCUGUCUGGUGCUCUUUGAUCUGCUCUUUCCCUUAUACUUUAAAUAGAAAAGAGUCUGAAUGGGAUCUUAAAUCGCUUCAAAUCAGAACAGGUCAUCUAUGUGAAACCCCUUGUACUUCAACAAGGUCCUCCCCCUGUCUCAGCUAUCUGGGGACAGUUCGCAGACUCUCAGGAAAGUUGG
This is a long non-coding RNA of Cygnus atratus (black swan), 3999 nucleotides long. RefSeq lists it as uncharacterized. The transcript has 4 exons. The record is from RefSeq and is a predicted model, not a curated record. Lineage: Eukaryota; Metazoa; Chordata; Aves; Anseriformes; Anatidae.